This 484-nucleotide ribosomal RNA is filed under the name uncultured bacterium. RNAcentral describes it as "partial 16S ribosomal RNA". It matches the Rfam family "Bacterial small subunit ribosomal RNA", at positions 30 to 507 of the family's 1533-position model. The record is from RNAcentral.
AUUGAACGCUGGCGGCAGGCCUAACACAUGCAAGUCGAGCGGAUGAAGGGAGCUUGCUCCUGGAUUCAGCGGCGGACGGGUGAGUAAUGCCUAGGAAUCUGCCUGGUAGUGGGGGAUAACGUCCGGAAACGGGCGCUAAUACCGCAUACGUCCUGAGGGAGAAAGUGGGGGAUCUUCGGACCUCACGCUAUCAGAUGAGCCUAGGUCGGAUUAGCUAGUUGGUGGGGUAAAUGCCUACCAAGGCGACGAUCCGUAACUGGUCUGAGAGGAUGAUCAGUCACACUGGGACUGAGACACGGUCCAGACUCCUACGGGAGGCAGCAGUGGGGAAUAUUGGACAAUGGGCGAAAGCCUGAUCCAGCCAUGCCGCGUGUGUGAAGAAGGUCUUCGGAUUGUAAAGCACUUUAAGUUGGGAGGAAGGGCAGUAAGUUAAUACCUUGCUGUUUUGACGUUACCAACAGAAUAAGCACCGGCUAACUUCGUG